Molecule: ribosomal RNA, 253 nt
Filed under: uncultured bacterium
Lineage: Bacteria
Description: partial 16S ribosomal RNA
Rfam family: Bacterial small subunit ribosomal RNA
Source: RNAcentral
UACGUAGGGGGCAAGCGUUGUCCGGAUUUAUUGGGCGUAAAGAGCGUGUAGGCGGUUUGGUAGGUCCGCUGUGAAAACUCGAGGCUCAACCUCGGGACGCCGGUGGAAACCAUCAGACUAGAGUCCGGAAGAGGAGAGUGGAAUUCCUGGUGUAGCGGUGAAAUGCGCAGAUAUCAGGAAGAACACCAGUGGCGAAGGCGGCGAUCUGGGAAGAUACUGACGCUGAGGUGCGAAAGCGUGGGGAGCAAACAGG